GGAUUAUGGCUCAAGGGUAGAGCACUCGCCUAGCAUGUGCGGAGGCCUUGGGUUCGAUCCUCAGCACCA
This 69-nucleotide transfer RNA is filed under the name Marmota monax (woodchuck). RNAcentral describes it as "tRNA.Ala". Lineage: Eukaryota; Metazoa; Chordata; Mammalia; Rodentia; Sciuridae. The record is from RNAcentral.